CUACAUUGACAUCAUUAUUGCUGUAUCCUGCGCACUAACAGACCUCAUCCAGUCCAAGAACACUCGAUUUGGUCAACAAAACUCGAGCUCCAGUAAAAUGAUUUCAUCGUGUCUGAAAGGGAAUCCUGAUGGGAAGUGAAUGAGCUCCAAUGGGAAAUUAUAUAUUUAUAAGCAGCAGCAGCAGCAGCAGCAGCAGCAAGUAGGAGAACCUGGUGAUUGCUCAUCCAGGAUUACGCACACUGGGAUGCGGACAAAUGAAUACACCGGACCGGUGCGUUUUACGCGCAUUAUCCCCUGGAACAUCCUCCCUGCUUCACUCUAGGUAAUGUUAUGAAAAAAGCUGCAAUUUUUGCCAAAAUAUGCCAAUUUACUGUUAACAUAGCCCCUUAUAAUGUAUGCAAUUAUCACGUUAACCUGAGUAAAUAUCUCCUAUUUGCCAAGCGAUCGUUUUCACCCUGUUGUAUUUAUUUUGUUUAACUUUGCUUGGGCGCAUAUGCAGGCUGCAAUACAUACAUUCAAUAUUUUUGCAACAUUCAUUUCAUAAGCUUCUUUUAAAAGCUUUUUUUUACAGGUCACAACUCUUUCUUUGUUAUGUGUGUGCAUGUGUCUGAGGGAGAAUGUGCGUAAGUGUGUGUGUCCGUUUAUGGAGGGCGGGGGGGUUGAUGCCACCAGACGGGAUGUAUUAAAUCACCGGGGCAGAGCGAACAUAAACUGACGGAGGAAGCCAAAGUGUGAGGGAUCGCUCCCCACUUUGUCCGCGGCUAAACCUUCACUUUAUCCGGCGCUGUCAGACCGGCGCCUCCUCACAAGAUUGAAAUAUCCGAGCGGUGCAGCUCCUCCUCCGUGCAGUCCGCGGUUAAACGGAUUCCCUCUACUAUUUCGGAAUAAAUUGACCGCGCCAUUCCGAGGUAGAGAGGGACAGACGUCUGCUAGGUUGCUAUUUGUGCAAACCGCAUCCCGUUUUUACGGCUGAACGGGAGAGGAGCCGGUGAUGGAAAGGACUCUUCUUUCAGCCGCGGAGGACCGAGGAAGCAUCCCGAAGCGUCCUGUCAGCAUCUGCAGGGACAAGCCGCUCCCAGCAGCCGCCGAGCUCGCCAUCACCUCCGAAACGCAACACCGACUCCAAUAGUGCUGAGAAAGCGGCUGGAGGAAAGGGCACAUUGUGCUGUAAUGCUGUGUGUGUGUGUGUGUGUGUGUGUGUGCAGUCAGCCUUGUGUGUUGUACAUCUUUGUUUUGCCUCCUCCUUGUCAGGCAGCUGUAACAAACUCGAGGGUCCACUUCAAUCAGUUUCCUCCUACAGAUAUGCGCGUCCUCAUGCGUGUCCUCUGAGGUCAUUCCCCCGCACAACUGCCUGACUUCACACAGGGACAUUUCUGAAUUUAAUAGUCCACAAUCUGUAUAAUGAGUAUCCAUUCAAGUGAGUCUGUUUUCAUGCUGCGUCCUGCCAAAUGCGUGCAGUUGUCGUCGUCCUUUAACAUCUCGUUUGUGCAGCCUCGCUAAUCCCGAGUUUAGUUUUCAGCAGCUAGAGCUCCUGUCUCUCCUCCCGUGUCUCAGAGUGCAUCCCAGCAUAUUUACGUCCCCCACCUGUGCGCCUGUAUUUUUCAGAGUACAAGCAUUUUUCAAGGGCCCCCCCCCCCCGGCUCGGGAUGCAGUGUGGAUGAAUGAUCGGAUGCAGGAACACAGAGGAAGAGACCAAGGUCACACAGUAUCAAAUUCUUUGUGUGCUGCUUCGAAGUUGUAUUAAUGUUGCUUUUCGAGGGACUCAACACCGAGUCAUUCACAUUACUUCAAGGACUACAUUCUGCUUCAUUCGCCAUUAGCCACCGUGUGACAUAAAUUUGAUUUAAGGCUCCACUCGGACGCUGCACAUCUGAGAGAUUUGUUCCUUUCACUAUUUUCAACAAAAGAAGACGCUUUGUUUGUGCGUCUCUGGACAAGGCACAGUGAGUACACGCACCGCCUGCUGUGUGGAGGCAGAGCUUGCUGGUACCUACUUCUUUGCAGCAGCAGCAGCAUGCAUAAUCAGGCUGAGGAGAACAAAGGUGUUGGUUCUACAAACAGUGUUUGUUCAGAUUAGGCCGAGACCAGCAUCCAGAACCAAAGGGAACACUGGUUCUUUCACAAGACGCCGAAGGGAAGGGACCCAGCGGAGGGGGCAGACAAGGUCUCUGUAAAAGGUUGUGCAUCCCGGGAGAAUAACAAGGAGAGGAAUAGUGAAGCCUUCCAUUAUGUGCUUUCCAUAAUAUAAUGAUAGAGAGCUGGUGCUCCUGGAAGUGCCCUGAAAGGCAUUGAAACGCUGUUUGUGAGUUCACGACUGUCGUGACAAGACUUAAAAGAAUCUUUGCGCAUGGAUGAGUUUGGCCGCUUCAUUUUACGGAUAGCGAGCAGUCACCUUGUCAUUGUUAAGUGUUGCCUGGCGGUUGUCUGAAUUCAAAAUGGAGAGUGAAGGGUGCACUCUUGUCUAGAGAAAUAACGCCUCUUCUUUAUUUGUCAGCUCCCUGCCGCCUUGCUUGAAGAGUAAAUGAAGCCUCUCACCUUAAGCGGCUGCCUGCUUUUAUUUUCUCCCUUACAUCCCAGACAACUGGGGGAUUGUUCCAAAGCCAAUCUGCAAGGUUCAAAGACCUCGAGAAUGCAGACGGCCUUUCAAUGUCUAGAUUCUCAUGCAAAUUUGUGUGUGCGGAGAUUUGUUGACUGGAAGAUGGACUCAGCGAUCUGCUUUGCCUCAUGCCAUAAUAAACAGCCUCAGUAAUUGGCAUCAGUAA
Non-coding RNA from Gasterosteus aculeatus aculeatus (three-spined stickleback), 2762 nucleotides. Lineage: Eukaryota; Metazoa; Chordata; Actinopteri; Perciformes; Gasterosteidae. The record is from RefSeq and is a predicted model, not a curated record.